AGUCCACAUCCAGAAGGCUGGAGCCGUGUUUCACUGACAGGCUGUCAGACUAACGCCCUGAUGAGCUCAGCUGGGACAAACUGGUCUGAUGUUUAGGAACACAGAACGUUCAGAUGUUGGAGCUUCACGUCACCUACUGAGGAAGGAGACCCACCAGUAAAGAGACGGUCUGGACCAGACCAAAAAUAUGGCGAUGACAUCAUGGAACUGGUCUUUGGAAAAGUUUUCCCUGAACCAACUCCGUUUCUAGAUGAGGUAGAGAAGAUCUGCAUCUCACCAACCCUCUGGUCUCAGUAUUCAGACAACGGAGGUCUCCCACUGUUAUCCAGGACCAGUUUGAAGCCCACAUACUGCCCCUCCCUCAUCAUCAGGAAACAUCAAUCCGUAUCCUGAGGACAACAGAAGACGGCAGGAGGACAGGAACUCUGAGACCUAGAUACCACCAGCACCGAGACACAAAGCACCUGUGUGCACAACGCCUGUUUAACUACUAAAGCCUGUUUAUUAUAUUGUUCUACUUAUUUGCUGUGAGGUUAAUACAUAGAAAAUUUGUAUAUUAAUGUAAACAAUUAAAAAAAUCACUGAUUGUAUGUUUCUUUUAGAUGUAAUGGUCCAAACUCCGCCUUGUAGACAUUUAUUGCAUCCUGUAGGUAAAUACACAGAACAGGCUCAGGUCCAGGAUGACCCAGCAUGCUCUUCUUCCAUUCUGGCUGUUAGGGAUUGUAUCAAUAACUCAAUGCCUACUGAUGUUUUCACCUAACGGUAUUUAUUUAGAAUGCAGGUAAGAUUUAACUAUAUUUGUUAGCAAAGCAGACUGAUCUUGGGAAUUUCACUGCAGCACUGAUGUCCACCUCUCUGUACACAUUAGAGAGAAUUACCACUUUACAGCUAAACACAUUUAAUAAAGAUAUAGGCUACGCAUUGCAGACAAUAAAAACAAAGUUGUAAGCAUUAGAAUUAUAAUGAUCACAUUAAAGAACAUUGAGGAAUGUUAUUUAU
This is a long non-coding RNA of Nothobranchius furzeri (turquoise killifish), 999 nucleotides long. RefSeq lists it as uncharacterized. The record is from RefSeq and is a predicted model, not a curated record. Lineage: Eukaryota; Metazoa; Chordata; Actinopteri; Cyprinodontiformes; Nothobranchiidae.